Molecule: transfer RNA, 73 nt
Filed under: Canis lupus familiaris (dog)
Lineage: Eukaryota; Metazoa; Chordata; Mammalia; Carnivora; Canidae
Also listed under: 1 other name
Rfam family: tRNA
About the family: Transfer RNA (tRNA) molecules are approximately 80 nucleotides in length.
Source: Rfam by way of RNAcentral
GCCUGGUUGGCUCAGUUGGAAGAGCAUGUGACUCUUAAUCUCAGGGUCAUGAGUUCAAACCCCACCUUGGGUG